UUUCCAGCCCAGCCCACCCCUCCUCAGGCACUCUUCCAUUGGAUCCUCCUCGCAAGCAGCUGGAUCAAUUUACUCUAGCCUACGGUGCACACUCUACAAGCACGGACUGAAUUAUUACUCAUGGAAAUCCCCUCUGUUUUCAGUCUUUGAACAAGGGAAUCAGGAACCUGUUUUGUUCAUUGUGGCCACUGCAUAGAAACUGCUUUCAUUUUGGGGAGUGAGAGAGUGGGAGACAAUCAGGGUAAGUGACUUGCCCAGGGACAC
This 264-nucleotide long non-coding RNA is filed under the name Sarcophilus harrisii (Tasmanian devil). Its description in RNAcentral is "lncRNA (ENSSHAG00000031276.1)". Lineage: Eukaryota; Metazoa; Chordata; Mammalia; Dasyuromorphia; Dasyuridae. The record is from RNAcentral.